Myxocyprinus asiaticus (Chinese sucker) is the source of this 2044-nucleotide long non-coding RNA. RefSeq lists it as uncharacterized. The record is from RefSeq and is a predicted model, not a curated record. The transcript is spliced from 3 exons. NCBI's taxonomy places the organism in Eukaryota, Metazoa, Chordata, Actinopteri, Cypriniformes, Catostomidae.
AGAAAAUGCAUAAUAAACUUUGCCAUUUCUAAUCGUUCAGUUUCAUACAUUAACCUGCAAACUCUUCAACAUCACAGAAGUACAAAAACCUCCUUAACUUUUGUGUGUUUGGUGACUUGAUUCACAACUUUGGAACCCCAUCUGCACCGCAUCGACGCACCCUUCAGUAUUAAGUAGAGUAAAUGUUAUAUCACCCCCUUGGGGUCUCCCAAAGCUAUUACGCCAGACUACAUUAAACGGAAGGUCAAUUGACUGUGAAUUGGAAAGCUCACAAAUUAGGCUUCUAAUUUAAAUGUCGGCUAAUGUUAACAUAUCGAUGCCUCAAAAACGUAUCGAGAAAAUAGUGUGCUGAUCGAUAAUCGCUAUAUUAUGACAUUCUGAGAAUUUUUAAUGCAAGCAUUCAUCAUUUUUUAAUUAUGGCUAAUAUUUUAAACAUUUUGCAGUUACAAAUGUACUUUUGUUUGCAUAUUGCAAUUUUAAUAACAUUUAUUGUGAAAAUGUAUUGUCUAAAUGCAUCAAAGUCAUGGCUGUUGCAGUCAGUAUUUUUUGGUUGCUGUGACCAUUGUUUCAAUUUGAGAAGUAGAAAGUGAUGUAGUUAAUUAUUAAUUAAUAAUGACAGAAACUUUAACAUUUAUUCCUGAUGGUUUAUGUUGUAUUACUUUAAACGGACAUCAUUUAUAGGGACAGAAAUCUUUUUAUGUAUAGCUGAUAUAGGUUAAAACCAGCAUUCAGAUAACACACAGUGACUCGAAUACUUAAAUAUAGGAACCUUUCCUUUAGUAAACUGCCAUUUGUGUGAAUGUGCACAAUAAAGUGCAGAGCAGUUUAUUAUAGUUAGUUUUUCUAUUGUUUUCUAACAUUGGUUAGAUAAACCUAAAUAUCCACUUAAAUCUGGAUCUAAAGUAAUUAAAAACAUAUUUGUGUGUUGACAAAGCUUGUGGAUGACAUUCUUGACUUCACAUCAUGUGCAAAACGCCUGGGGAAGCCGUCAGCUGCAGAUCUCAAACUGGGCCUGGCCACUGGUCCUGUUCUGUUUGCUUGCCAGCAGUUUCCGGAGCUUCAUGCAAUGAUCAUGCGCCGUUUCAGCUCAGAUGGAGAUGUGGAUCGAGCCUGGCAAUAUGUCCUGAAGAGUGACGGUGUGGAACAGACUAACUACCUCGCCCAACACUACUGCCAAGAGGCCAUCCGUCAGAUCAGUCAGCUGCGGCCAUCAACAGAGCGAGAUGCACUGAUCCGACUGACCGAGCUGGUGCUGAGCCGGGACAAGUGAACCUGGAUCCAGUGCUCCAUACUCAGGCAGCUACACCUCUGCUGGGCCUCCACUCAAACAGAGAACAAAGAAUUAUUUAUUUAUGCCAUUGUUGCUGUAUAAUUUACCGUACUGUAAUCGCAGAGCGCCUGCUGUCCAAUCACAGAACCCUGAGCUGUGUCACCACUGCACGGGAUGUAUGACCGGUGCUGUUGAAGGAGAUCUACAGGAUCAUUGUAAUUCCAUGUGUCGCACAGAUUGAGGUGCUACUGUCAUGUGUGUGUCUAUGUGGAUCUGUUACAGAUAACAUAAACAUCCGUCCAAACUACAAGGGCCAAACAUCUUAGAUUUUAUUGAAAGAUGUUGUCAAUGUACUUAUCACAUCAAGUGCUCAAUAACUUUCAAGGCCUUACACCACUGGCUAUGUACUUAAAUAAAAUUAAAUAAGGUAUUUUUUAAAGUAAACAUCGAGUCUUGUUUUUCCAUUUAAGCUGUGACUUAGUGGUGAUCAGGAGUGCUUUGACAAAUUUAGCUGUUAUGCAUCACAUUCCAUAAAUGGGGUACAAAUUGGCUUCCAGUUACUUUUCUGUAAGAAAUAAUGGCACAAAUCCCAUGUUCCUUGAAUUCUAAGUACAUUAGAUAAUCUACUAUCUAACAUGUUACCAUAGCAUGAAAAGAAGCUGGUUUUAAACACAUUAAAUGUCUAAACUUGUGACACCCAGAUUGUAACAUUGUCAUUCAUUUGGACUCUUUCUACAGCAGGCAGGAAGUAAAUAAUCUCAUUUCAUUUUCUCA